Molecule: long non-coding RNA, 852 nt
Organism: Ipomoea nil (Japanese morning glory)
Lineage: Eukaryota; Viridiplantae; Streptophyta; Magnoliopsida; Solanales; Convolvulaceae
Exons: 5
Source: RefSeq, a predicted model, not a curated record
UUCUUCGCUACUCUAUCCAAUCACCCUCGCUCUCACCAAAUAUGGAAACCAAACAAAUUUCUUACCGCCAAAUCUAAAUCCAAGCUACGCAUGGCUGAAAAUACUACAAAAAUGCCUUCAAUUCCGUCAUUUCAAAAUCUUUAACCCAAAACACAACUGAUUCAAAGAAUUACACGAUAAACAGAUCGGCCGACAAAUAUGGUCUUCAAUAGCAACGCAUGCAAUAUCCUACAGUUUCAGUAUUUUUCUCAAUGCAAGCUAUUUGAAGGGUAGAGGCUUGAAGCAGGUUCGCUGUUAGGCUCAAUGAUUCAAGCUUCAACCCAAUUUUCUUACAUGUAAUCAGGAGACGGCUUAAAGGAUUCAACUCAAUUGUCAACUUAAGUGAAGUUGAAUGUGUCAAAAACUGAAGUCAUUUCACUGUUAAAUGUGGAAUGUGGUUAAAUCGACAAAAAAGAGGGGGGCCAUUUUCAGGCGGAGUAGAUGGCAAAGAAAGAACAAACACGCAGACCUUAAUUCAUAAAAUGACUGGUUAGUAGCCAUUAUUUAUAGAACAGAGUUAAGCUGAAGGGUUCAAAUCAGAUUUGGAGGAUUUAGAAUUCCAAGAAAACUCAACAAUUGCACCGGAAAAUGGAACGCCAAAAUAGAAAAGUUGCAAAGUGUUUUGAAUUCAUCUCUAUUGAUAUGUAUUUCUUUAAUUUGAGUUUCAAUUUUGAUAUGUAUUCGCAAUAGUGUAUGUAUAAAAUCAUUUAAUGCAAACGGUGGCCUGCAACUUGGAACAACUGCCCACAAAUUUGGGAAACCUAAAAGGUGGUUGAGCAUGACUUAAGUAUUUAAGAUUAAUACAAAUACAAU